This 483-nucleotide ribosomal RNA is filed under the name uncultured bacterium. RNAcentral's name for it is "partial 16S ribosomal RNA". It matches the Rfam family "Bacterial small subunit ribosomal RNA", at positions 28 to 523 of the family's 1533-position model. The record is from RNAcentral.
GACGAACGCUGGCGGCGUGCUUAACACAUGCAAGCCGAACGGUGAAGGUGGAGCUUGCUCCGCCGGAUCAGUGGCGAACGGGUGAGUAACACGUGGGCAACCUGCCCCAGACUUCGGGAUAACUCCUCGAAAGAGGCGCUAAUACCGGAUACGAGUUCUGCAGGCAUCUGCGGAAUUGGAAAGUUUUUCGGUCUGGGAUGGGCCCGCGGCCUAUCAGCUUGUGGGUGAGGUAACGGCUCACCAAGGCGACGACGGGUAGCCGGCCUGAGAGGGCGACCGGCCACACUGGGACUGAGACACGGCCCAGACUCCUACGGGAGGCAGCAGUGGGGAAUAUUGCGCAAUGGGCGAAAGCCUGACGCAGCAACGCCGCGUGCGGGAUGAAGGCCUUCGGGUUGUAAACCGCUUUCAGCAGGGAAGAAGCGAAAGUGACGGUACCUGCAGAAGAAGCACCGGCUAACUACGUGCCAGCCGCCGCGGUAA